Molecule: ribosomal RNA, 434 nt
Filed under: uncultured bacterium
Lineage: Bacteria
Description: partial 16S ribosomal RNA
Rfam family: Bacterial small subunit ribosomal RNA
Source: RNAcentral
AGCGAACGCUGGCGGCAGGCCUAACACAUGCAAGUCGAACGAACCUUUCGGGGUUAGUGGCGGACGGGUGAGUAACACGUGGGAACGUGCCUUUAGGUUCGGAAUAACUCAGGGAAACUUGUGCUAAUACCGAAUGUGCCCUUCGGGGGAAAGAUUAAUCGCCUUUAGAGCGGCCCGCGUCUGAUUAGCUAGUUGGUUGAGGUAAUGGCUCACCAAGGCGACGAUCAGUAGCUGGUCUGAGAGGAUGAUCAGCCACAUUGGGACUGAGACACGGCCCAAACUCCGACGGGAAGCAGCAGUGGGGAAUCUUGCGCAAUGGGCGAAAGCCUGACGCAGCCAUGCCGCGUGAAUGAUGAAGGUCUUAGGAUUGUAAAAUUCUUUCACCGGGGACGAUAAUGACGGUACCCGGAGAAGAAGCCCCGGCUAACUUCGUG